Molecule: non-coding RNA, 4425 nt
Organism: Vicugna pacos (alpaca)
Lineage: Eukaryota; Metazoa; Chordata; Mammalia; Artiodactyla; Camelidae
Source: RefSeq, a predicted model, not a curated record
UAGCACUUUUCUAUGUAUGGGAAGAUGCAAGAGUCUGGGCUCAUUGAAAUUUUUCCUUUGAGAUGCAUCUCAGCUAUCUAGGGCCAGUAUCCUGUUUUUCUCCAUCCUGCAUUCCCCCAGGGCGCACCGUUGCGGGGAGGCUGCAGUGGCUGCCAGCUGGAAGGCGAGGAGCAUUCAUUGUUUGCUGGAAUGGCAGGCAACACUCCCCUCCCACAACCCAGACGCGGGAAGGCUUCUAUCUUUCUACAAAGUCCUCUUCAAGGUCUCCUUCAGUGUGCCAGGGGUCCCUGGGAUUCUUCUAGCAAACCUCAAGGUCAGUGCUGUGUUUCUCAGCCGCUCCCCACACCGCUCUAGCCUGAGGGCCCUGGCUUCCCCACCCCCAGCCGCCCCCCAGGAAGCAGAACAGCCAGUCCUCAGCCCAGGCCCACUCCUGCAGCAUGUUGACAGCUGGUCUUGUGUUAGAGCACGGACCUCUUUCUGUGUCCCUCUGCUGCCCUCUGCUUGUCUUUGAAGGAGAAAGGAAAAGAGAGGAGGAUGGGGAAAAUGGAUGACAGCGCUCCAGGAUAGCCUGCGUGGAAGGGAAGCAGAUUACCACGCCCGGCCGGAGACCCCUGCCUUGGUGCCAAGACCCGUGCCCCAGGCCCCCAGGGCCCAUCCCAUUCACCUGCUUCUCCAAAGUCCUGCUCCACAUCCCGCCUGGCAGCCUGGAGGGCAGAUGGUGCAGCAAGGUGGGCUAAGUGUCCUUGCUCGUGGGCCUCCAGGCAACCCUCUGGCUCUGUGCCCAGAGAUCAAAGGGCAGGAGUAGGAGGGCCACGGACUGAGGACGGCUGGUGCUGACAGAGGUAGGUGGUGCACGUGCCAGGACUCUGACAUCAAACUGGAAAGUAAAAGCUUAAGAUAUGUCUUAGCCAGCUCAGGCCGCCAUUAUAUAGUACUAUAGACAGGGUGGCCUAAACCACAGAAAUGUAUUUUCUCACAAUUCCGGAGGCCAGAAGUCCAAGAUCAGAGUGCCAGCAUGGUCAGGUUCCGGUGGCAGCUCUCUUCCUGGCUUGAAGAUGGCCACCUUCUUGCCAUGUGCUCACAUGGUAGAAAGAAAGAACGUGGUUUCUGGUGUCUUCUUAUAAGGACACUAAUGCCAUCAUGAGGUCCCCACCCUCAUGACUUCAUCUAACCCUAGAUAAGCCGCCCAAAGCCACUCCUAAUACCAUCACAUUGAGGGGUUAGGGCUUUUAACACAUGAAUUUGCGGGGUGGGCACAAACAUUCAAUCCAUAACGAGGUGUAUAUGUGUAAGGGAUUACUUUGUAAUGACAUAGGAAAAGCCACCCAUCCCAAACUACUGGGGGGAACGUUAUUUCUAGGGUGUGAGGCCCCUGAUCUAUUUAGGGUGUGUCUCUGGAGUGUGAGAUCUCUGAUCUGUUUGGGACUGAGCUCUGGAGUCCUCCCCCUUCCCAACCUCUCUCUCACCCCAUCCUCACCCUCCAUUGCUGAGAGUCAGGGAACAAUCAUCAGCCCUAUUGCUGUUUGCCUUACCUUGAACUUAGCACCUCUCUCUCUUGUGGGUUACCUCUCUAGCCCCUGGGGCAUAUGAGUUUCAGAUUCUUAUUCCUAGGCACACCCCAGAUCCCUAACAGACACACAAAUGCUCUGUGCUAUGCAUAUUAUUUUUAUCUUACGAUUUUCCUUUAUAAAGAGUUACACGAAUACAUGAAAUGGGUUUGUAUUAAAAGUUCCAACAAAACAUCAAAUAUAUGGACUAUACAGGUCAUCCCCACCUCCACUCUCCAAAAAUGAUCACUGAGGUCAGUUUCUGGUGUUUCCUUCAAACACAUACACACACACACACACACGCAUAAACACACACACACACACAGAGUCACUAAAACCAUCUCCCACCUGCUUUUCCCUGUUAACAGCAUGUCCUGUGGAAGGCACUCCCACCCCAUAGGAACACACAGGUCCCACGCAUUCUGUAUCACGUCAGGUGGGUACUCUGUGGUAUAACAUAAACUCCCCAACUUUCAUUUCACUCUGCAGCAGUCAUUGUCUAGAAAUGGACAUUUAUAAGGUUUUCCCAGUCAUUUGCUCCUACCUGCCUGGUGCACACAGCUGUGUGUGUGUGUGUGUGUGUGCGAGUUAGAAGUGGAAUUGCUGGGUCAAAGGGUUCUUUCAUUCAGCAGACACCCAAUGAGUGAGGUCUGUGUGAUGAGCACUGUUCUAAGUGCUGGGAAGACAUCAGAGAACAAGACAGACAAACAUCCCUGCCCACAUGGAGCCAACAUUCCAGUUGGAGAGGAGGGUGUCCAAUUUUUAUUUAGAUGUUUCACAAGCCCUGGAAGCUUUCACUGUCAUCAGUGGUGUGGUCACUGGCUGCUUCUCCACUGCUGUCUGUGGGGCAGGGUCUGCAGCAGGAGGCUGGCUGCCUUGGCCUUUGCUCUCUACAAGAUCUGCAGGGGCUGGGGCUGGGAUGGUCUGUUUGGAGACGUGGAUGCGAGUAUGCCUGUGUGUGGUUGCGGAGGGGUGUGGAAACUGAAUGGUCUACUGGAGAGAGAGAGUGAGGGGAAACAGGCAGAGACCACUUCCUGGUGUUGGAGGGAGCUAGGGACAAAGUGAUCCCCAGAGGUGGCAUGAGCAGCCCCUCCCGGGCCACAUCCACAGAGAGUGGGCAGGAGCGGAGGCGCUGAGGUAUCUAGUGUCGUCUCAGAACAUACCAUUGUGUCAUUGUCAUGUGGACACUUUUGGGGCCACAUAGACAGGGGGUAUGGCCACCACAUGAGGUAGCCUACACUGGAGGUUGGACAGCCUUGGUUACUCAGACGGGGGUCUGGGCUUUCCAGAAGUCACACACACUGGGGAGUGGACACUCCUGGAAUCACACACGCUGGACGCUGCACACUCUUGGGAUCACACAAAGUAGAGUGUAGACACCUCUGGGGUCAGAUGGACAGGUGUGUUGACAUUGUUAUAGUUAAACAAACUAAGGUGUGGACGGUCCUGGGGUCAGGUUUGUAUGUGGACACUUCUGGGCUCACACACACUAGGAGGCGGGUACUUCUGAGUCACCCAGACUGGUUAGUGGAUAUUUGUAGGGUCACACACACACAUACACCCCAGAGGUCAGAUAGCCUGGGGUAUGAACACUGCUGAGGUCACACAGACUGUAGCGUGGAACCUCUUGGGAUCACUCAGACUGGGAUGUACACAUCUGGGAUCAGACAGCUUAAGGUGUGGGCAACUGUGAGGUCAUACAGGGUGGGUGUGGACAGAUGUGGGGUCAUGAAGAUGAGGGUUUGGACACUCCUGGAGUCACUCAGACUGGAGUGUGGACAGACCUGAGGUCACUCAGGCAGAGGUGCGAACACUCCAAGGUCUCCCAGUGCACAUACACUGGAGAGUAGACAGUCCUGAGGUCACACAGAGAGAGUUUGGAACACUCUUAAAGUUAAACACAUUGGGGAGUGGACACUUCUGAAACCACACACGGGUGGACUGGACACUCCUUGUGUCACACAGACUGGAGUGUGAACAUUCAUGGUGUCCCACAGAGGAGGGAAUACUCUUGGGGUUAUAGUGACUGAGGUGGGGACAGUCCUAUGGGCUGUGUUGUAGACACUCCUGCAAUCUUGGUGAAAGCGGUAUGGACAUUCUUGUGGUCAAAGAAGUGAUGAGCCGGCACUGCCGGGGCUGGAGAUUAAGGUGUGGACACUCCCUUGGUCACACAGAGUAAUUGAUGGAUGCUCCUCGGUAUAGACUUGGGAGCAGACACUGCUGAGGUCACAGGCUGUGGUGAGGGUGGUUCAAGGGUCAUAUACAUGGGUAUUUGGACACUCAUGGGCUCACACACAAUGGGGAGUCAACAGUCAUGGGGUCCCUCACAUGGGGAGUUGAACACUCAUGAUCACAUGGACUGGGAUGUGGACAUGCUGGUGUAACACAACUUGGGGAGUGGGCACACACUGGGAUGAGGGUCUCCCUGGCAUCACACACAGUAGUGUGCACAGUCCUGGUGUCACAGAAUGGGGAGAGGAUGCUCCUGGGGUCACACAGAUUGGGGAAAGGAUGAUGCUGAAGGUGUGCGUUUGGAGACCACUGAUUAAGAAGGGAAAGUUCAAAUACCACCGGUUCAAGUAAUUAAACAGGGAGGCCAUUAGGUUGAGGUGGCUCUGAUGCCUUGGUAGCCUACGUGAGCCAGAGUCAAAGCACCUGUAUCUGAGAAAUCAAAAUUUAAGAAGAACCAGUCACAAACAACCAACUGGGUUUUCCCAAAUAAGCACCCUCUUCCGCUCUAAACCAAUCAAAUAAGCUCGCUUUGCUUCUCCAUCUGCCCUAUAAAAGCCUUGCCCCAGCUCAUGGUGUGGAGGGCUUCUAAACCACUUCCCAGAGCUGCCCAAUUCCAGCGUUUGCUUAAAUAAACUCCUGAAACAUA